AAUAUCAAAGGUGAGCCAGUACAGGAUGGACCCGCGUCUGAUUAGCUAGUUGGUAAGGUAACGGCUUACCAAGGCGACGAUCAGUAGCCGACCUGAGAGGGUGAUCGGCCACAGUGGAACUGAGACACGGUCCAAACUCCUACGGGAGGCAGCAGUGGGGAAUAUUGCACAAUGGGCGAAAGCCUGAUGCAGCAACGCCGCGUGAGUGAUGAAGGCCUUCGGGUCGUAAAACUCUGUCCUC
This 241-nucleotide ribosomal RNA is filed under the name Clostridioides difficile. RNAcentral's name for it is "partial 16S ribosomal RNA". It matches the Rfam family "Bacterial small subunit ribosomal RNA", at positions 197 to 440 of the family's 1533-position model. The record is from RNAcentral. Lineage: Bacteria; Bacillati; Bacillota; Clostridia; Peptostreptococcales; Peptostreptococcaceae.